CUACGGGUGGCUGCAGUGAGGAAUUUUGCGCAAUGGGGGAAACCCUGACGCAGCAACGCCGCGUGAGCGAAGAAGGCCCUCGGGUCGUAAAGCUCUGUCAAGUGGGAAAAAAAUCUUUUGAUCAAUAGUCAAAAGACUUGAUGGUACCACUGGAGGAAGCACCGGCUAACUCCGUGCCAGCAGCCGCGGUAAUACGGAGGGUGCAAGCGUUGUUCGGAUUUACUGGGCGUAAAGAGCGUGUAGGCGGUUUAGCAAGUCAGAUGUGAAAGCCCUGGGCUCAACCUGGGAAGUGCAUUUGAAACUGCUUCACUAGAGUAUGGGAGAGGAGAUUGGAAUUCCUGGUGUAGAGGUGAAAUUCGUAGAUAUCAGGAGGAACACCCGUGGCGAAGGCGACUCUCUGGACCAAUACUGACGCUGAGACGCGAAAGCGUGGGGAGCAAACAGGAUUAGAUACCCUCGUAGUC
RNAcentral lists this ribosomal RNA (464 nucleotides) under uncultured bacterium. RNAcentral's name for it is "partial 16S ribosomal RNA". It matches the Rfam family "Bacterial small subunit ribosomal RNA", at positions 339 to 795 of the family's 1533-position model. The record is from RNAcentral.